GGUGGCGUGCCGGUGCGCGUUGAAGGCCNNNACGUGAGUCAGGCUGGAGCCGCCGGUAGUGCAGAUCUNGGUGGUAGUAGCAAGUACUCUGGUGAACCAACCUGGAGCUGUGAGGUCUGGAUUAGGGUUCCAUGUCAACAGUGAUUGAACAUGGGUGAGUCGAUCCUAAGCCAACUGUGAAAGCAGUGACAUCCCGACAAAGGGGCUGUACGUGUGCUGCACUUACACCCCCAUACCAAAGCUCUCGAGUAUCUCUCUCUCUGGUGCGGAAAAUUCGCGCGCGCACACAUGCGAUCACUUCGAGUGUGAAUGUGUGCGUGUGUGAGGCAUUGUAAACGCGCGCGCGCACACAUGCGAUCACUUCGAGUGUGAAUGUGUGCGCGUGUGAGGCGCGGAAAACGCAAGCGCGCGCACACAUGCGAUCACUUCGAGUGUGAAUGUGUGCGUGUGUGAGGCAAGGAAAACGCGCGCGCACACAUGCGAUCACUUCGAGUGUGAAUGUGUGCGUGUGUGUGAGGCUUGAUUUUUUUUCUGGUUACGCGCAUAAGCGUUGAGGACUCAGAGAGAGAAAAAGAGAGUGGGUGAGCGUGAGUUUGCGAUUGCAUGAGCUUCCUGCGUCUGGUUUUCUAUGUCUGGCGAAAGGGAAUGGGGACUUUGUUCCUUGACCGGUCCCGGCACCCUCGACUGGCUCUGCCAGUUAAUGGUCCAUGCAAAUGGAACCAGGCCACAGCCGUCGGCAGUCGCCCGAGGAAGAGUUUUCUUUUCUGCUUAACGCACGAGGUCAUCCCUGGAAACAGUUCGGCUGGCGAAAGGGUGCCCCGUUGCGGCAGAGCGCCACGACUGUCGUGCGCGUCUCGGUGUUCCUGCCGGUCCGUGAAGACGUGGUCGAGGGGAAUGCUAUCUUGUAUCAACGAAACGCCCGACAAGUUCGGGACGGACCGUACCCUAUAUCCGCAUCUGGUCUCCAAGGUUCGUAGCCUCUGCAGAGUCAGACACAUGUAGGUAAGGGAAGUCGGCAAACUCGAUCCGUAACUUCGGGAAAAGGAUUGGCUCUGAGGGCCGAGCUGGGCCGGGCCUUGCCUGCAAAGCAGUACCUAUAGUGACCGGAGUUUCAGGAGUGCGAGGGGCUCUAGUAGCUGCUUGUGCGUGUGUGUGUGUGUUCACGCUCGCGUGUUCGCGCGCGUGCGCGUGUGGGCACGAACGAGUCCACCGCUCCGCUCCAACCACGAACGGCUGUGACGGCAAGGGCUCUGGGCGGGAGCG
Molecule: ribosomal RNA, 1263 nt
Filed under: Niphargus sp. 4 SB-2020
Lineage: Eukaryota; Metazoa; Arthropoda; Malacostraca; Amphipoda; Niphargidae
Description: partial large subunit ribosomal RNA
Rfam family: Eukaryotic large subunit ribosomal RNA
Source: RNAcentral